RNAcentral lists this ribosomal RNA (452 nucleotides) under uncultured Sphingobium sp. RNAcentral's name for it is "partial 16S ribosomal RNA". Lineage: Bacteria; Pseudomonadati; Pseudomonadota; Alphaproteobacteria; Sphingomonadales; Sphingobiaceae. The record is from RNAcentral.
CACGGAGUUAGCCGGAGCUUAUUCUCCCGGUACUGUCAUUAUCAUCCCGGGUAAAAGAGCUUUACAACCCUAAGGCCUUCAUCACUCACGCGGCAUUGCUGGAUCAGGCUUGCGCCCAUUGUCCAAUAUUCCCUACUGCUGCCUCCCGUAGGAGUCUGGGCCGUGUCUCAGUCCCAGUGUGGCUGAUCAUCCUCUCAGACCAGCUAAGGAUCGUCGCCUUGGUGGGCCUUUACCCCACCAACUAGCUAAUCCUACGCGGGCUCAUCCUUGGGCGAUAAAUCUUUGGACUUACGUCAUCAUCCGGUAUUAGCUUCCGUUUCCAGAAGUUAUUCCGAACCCAAGGGCAGAUUCCCACGCGUUACGCACCCGUGCGCCACUAGAUCCGAAGAUCUCGUUCGACUUGCAUGUAUUAGGCAUGCCGCCAGCGUUCGUUCUGAGCCAGGAUCAAACUC